AGAUUCUAAAUUAUUGCAAAAUGAUUCUAUCAUUUAUCUUCGUUAAUAGCAUGCUAUCACGUGACCAUCGUAGAAAAGAAUAAAAUUAUAUUAUGACCUAAUUGCCCUUCAUAUCAGUUUCUUUAUAGGGUGUUAGUCUUGACACCAAGAUGCCACAAAUCAUAUGACCUUAUGUGAUUUGUUUCUAAUAAUCGUGGGUUCUACUUUCAAGGAAACCGCAAAGCAGACAUGAAGGAGAGGAAGGUCGGGAGGGAAGGGAAAGGGAGAGAUAAUGGAUGCAUCUCACAUAAGUUCCAUUCUUUUUCCUCCUAUUUUAUUGAUUUUUACCAUUAAAUGGAAUAAGGUUGCCUUUGAGGACAUCAUGGACCAGCGCAAACCUUGGCCAACAUUUAAUUUGUUGGAUGCAUGAUAAAUAAGAUAUGUUAUUAUUUUGAUCCCAUUUUCAUGUUUAUUCUCCGAUGUUUGCUUUCAAUCUCCAGUCUCAAGUUGGUGGUCCAAGUUAAUGAUGACUGUAGUUUCUUCCAUUGACGUGAUUUAUGUUCAAAUGCAAGGGAUAAGGUAGAUUAUUAAUAAAAUCUUGUAGCGGAACAAGUACCUCGAGUCCCAACUUUUGAGUUGCAAAAAGAAGGAUCAAAUAGGCGGUGUUCGGUAUUCUGACAUAUGCGAUUGUUGUGGCAUUGUUUUAUAGUAUCUUAAUUUUCUCAAUUUUGAAUGUUUGAUGUGUUAAGAGUUCUAAGUUGAAGGUUUUGGAGUUUGGGGAGUGUUGUAAGUUGGACAUUUUAGAGGUUAUCCCAGGACGAAUGUUUUGCUUUGGGGAUUAUGGCAACAUUUUUUUUAUAAUUUCUAAACUAUCUGUGCAGUGAAAAUGCUAUUGCGUUGGCUUAAAUAAAUGGCUUUACCUGAUGUACUAAGAGCAAUUUUGCAUUGAAAAUACUCCAAUGCUUUCUUAUCGUCAGCAUCUUCCACAUGUCUUGCACUUUUUGAAGCCAAAAUGCAUAACUGAAGAUAGAUACUUAUCCAAUAAAGAUACCUCCUAAAUUUUUAUAUUGUUCUACUGAUACCCUCUUUACCUUUUCAAUAGUUCCACUAAUACCCUCUCUUUUUUCACCCUGUUGCAACAACAUCCCCUCUUGCAAAUACUCCUCUAUAGUUUGAAAAAGGCAAAAUAGAGAUUCCUUUAUAGAUCUAGACUAUGAGUACAUAUGGAUCUUAAUAAUUACACUUGGCCUAUGUAAUGGGGAACAUGUUGGCGUUGCCAUCCUUCCCUAUUGUACCUAGGAAUUGCCUCCCAAAGAAUUAUUUUAGGUUGCAUCCAUCUAGAAUGUUGAUGGGUUUGCACUAUUUUACAAACCUAUUCUUACGUACAGCAAUUAGACAACGAUAAAGCCUCCUAAAGGUGGGCUAGUUGACCUCAUUUGACCUUUUCAUUCGUCCUCUUAAUUAUAUUGCAGUACUCCUAUAGGCAAAUGUACUGUCCUUGUGCA
Molecule: long non-coding RNA, 1484 nt
Filed under: Elaeis guineensis (African oil palm)
Lineage: Eukaryota; Viridiplantae; Streptophyta; Magnoliopsida; Arecales; Arecaceae
Description: long non-coding RNA (EGUI_LNC021294)
Source: RNAcentral